Drosophila teissieri is the source of this 706-nucleotide RNA transcript. It is a transcript of the gene named transmembrane inner ear expressed protein, with no coding region annotated. NCBI's taxonomy places the organism in Eukaryota, Metazoa, Arthropoda, Insecta, Diptera, Drosophilidae. The transcript has 4 exons. The record is from RefSeq and is a predicted model, not a curated record.
CUACACCCCGCAAAUUAUUUUUUCAGAGGGAGUGUGUGGGGCCGCUCCUCCCUUACCAACUUAUUUGGUGGGCCAGGCCAGUACGGACCAGUUCCUGGGCCGGCAGUCGGAACUGGAUUGGCUAGACAGCCGGACGUAUUUCGGGAGCAACUCGGCUCCAACGGUUCAAGCACCUGGGAGAGCUCACAAGCCAAGAGGAAAAUGGAUGACGAUUCCGAUAUCUUCGAUGAAAUGUGGCUGGAAAGUGUGGUCAUUGCGGGCUUCCGAGUGUGGCACAUUAUCGCUGCCGUUCUGGGCGUCCUCCUCUUAAUAAUGAUUAUGGUAUGCUGCUGCAUUCGCUUCCGUAUUCCGCGCACCAAGCAGGAAAUCGAGGCGGACUACCAACGCAAGCAGAUCACAAAGAAGUUCCGCGAGAAGCUGCAGCAGAUCAAGAACUCCGAAAUGGACGACAUGGACCUGCAAAAGGCACUUGCUUAUAUCAAAUUGGAACAGUACGAUGAUCCCUAGGGACUCUGUAAAUUCACCCGCACCCUGUACAAACUAUCGGAAGAACUUAAGCAGAAAACUCUUUAUCGCAAACACUGCCACUUUUGUGCCCGCAUCCAGAGCGACUAUCUGAAUUUCCAGGCCAGCAUGGAGAGCAUUAACGCGAAGCAGAAUGUUAAGUUUAAGAUCUAAGUGCCUUUUAUAGUAUUGUGCAGCGAAG